UAGGCAUUCAAAGUGUGCUGGCAGAGCGCAGAACGGACACAAUCCUGCUUAUCAAAGCGGAUGAUGCCAAUCAUUUCAUCCUCAGCAAAGCGCUCCAGUGCGUCGCUGAGACCUGAUUUCACGCCACGCGGCAGGUCACAUUGGGUGAUAUCACCAUUAACGAUAACCGUGACAUUUUCACCGAGACGGGU
This 191-nucleotide antisense RNA is filed under the name Yersinia kristensenii. RNAcentral describes it as "Yersinia sRNA 251". It matches the Rfam family "Yersinia sRNA 251". Rfam says of the family: Antisense to phoH gene. Trimmed on 5'end from the original size. The record is from RNAcentral. Lineage: Bacteria; Pseudomonadati; Pseudomonadota; Gammaproteobacteria; Enterobacterales; Yersiniaceae.